UCCGGUUUGGCACCGGCAGUCCUCCCAGAGUCCCCGCCAUGACGCGCUGGCAACUGGGAGCGGGGGUUGCGCUCGUUGCGGGACUUAACCCAACAUCUCACGACACGAGCUGACGACAGCCAUGCAGCACCUGAACCGGCAGUCCCCGAAGGGAAGGUCCUAUUUCUAGGACUGUCCGCCGUUGUCUAGCCCAGGUAAGGUUCUUCGCGUUGCGUCGAAUUAAACCACAUGCUCCACCGCUUGUGCGGGCCCCCGUCAAUUCCGUUUGAGUUUUAAUCUUGCGACCGUACUCCCCAGGCGGAGUGCUUAACGCGUUAGCUUUGGCACUGCAGGGGUCAAUACCCGCAACACCUAGCACUCAUCGUUUACGGCGUGGACUAC
This 381-nucleotide unclassified non-coding RNA is filed under the name uncultured Pseudomonadota bacterium. Its description in RNAcentral is "uncultured proteobacterium contains 16S-23S intergenic spacer region". Lineage: Bacteria; Pseudomonadati; Pseudomonadota. The record is from RNAcentral.